Oenanthe melanoleuca is the source of this 503-nucleotide long non-coding RNA. RefSeq lists it as uncharacterized. The transcript is spliced from 2 exons. NCBI's taxonomy places the organism in Eukaryota, Metazoa, Chordata, Aves, Passeriformes, Muscicapidae. The record is from RefSeq and is a predicted model, not a curated record.
GAUUCCUCAAGUGAGAUUUGGGAAUUCCUCAAGUGAGAUUUGGGGAUUCCUCAAGUGAGAUUUGGGGAUUCAGCAGGUGAGAUUUGGGGAUUGGCCCUUCUUGGGUGGUUGGAGCAGCAGGAGCAGAGAUUUCCUGGGAUGAAGCCCCAGUGACAGCCACACCUGCCCCUGCUGAGGGGAAAAACCUCUCCAGGUGUCACCUGAGAACUUGGGGACACAGCUCAGGACCCUCAGCCACCCCAGAGCUCUCCAGGUGUCACCUCAGCUCAGGGCAGCGCUCUGUGGGGUGAGGAGCAGAUUCCCUCUGGCUCUGGAGAGGGGAGUUCUGUGCAGGAAACUUCUGGAACUGGGACAUCUCCUCCCCCCUGGGCUCCUGUCCCAGCCCUGGCUGCUGCAGGGACAGAGAUCCUGUCCCAUCCCUGCUCCUUGUCCUGAGGGAAGUGGAAUUGUGAGCUUGUGUAAGCAGCCUUCAAUAAAUGUCACAGCCCAAGGCUGGCACUGUG